CCUCUCCUUCUAAAGUUAGUG
Molecule: non-coding RNA, 21 nt
Filed under: Arabidopsis thaliana (thale cress)
Lineage: Eukaryota; Viridiplantae; Streptophyta; Magnoliopsida; Brassicales; Brassicaceae
Source: RNAcentral